AUCGAUGUUAUCGUCACCAGUGCCCUCUCAUGUAAGAAAUUUGACAUGAACUGCCACACAAACACUCAUUUCUUUCAUUCACAUUUGAAAAUUUUCAUGCUUAUCAACAGAGCAUGCAUUUCAUCAACACGUCUUGGACUCUCAAAUUUCAACGAGAAUAUAAUUUUAGGCCCUACUAGCUAGAAAAACGAUGAACUUGACUGCAUAAAAACACAAACAGG
Populus euphratica (Euphrates poplar) is the source of this 221-nucleotide long non-coding RNA. RefSeq lists it as uncharacterized. NCBI's taxonomy places the organism in Eukaryota, Viridiplantae, Streptophyta, Magnoliopsida, Malpighiales, Salicaceae. The transcript is spliced from 2 exons. The record is from RefSeq and is a predicted model, not a curated record.